UUUUUAGUAUAAGUGUGUCCCAAAUAUUCCAAGGGAUAUACUUAUACUACAA
Molecule: microRNA precursor, 52 nt
Filed under: Marmota monax (woodchuck)
Lineage: Eukaryota; Metazoa; Chordata; Mammalia; Rodentia; Sciuridae
Source: RNAcentral